Molecule: long non-coding RNA, 1041 nt
Organism: Malaya genurostris
Lineage: Eukaryota; Metazoa; Arthropoda; Insecta; Diptera; Culicidae
Exons: 3
Source: RefSeq, a predicted model, not a curated record
CGAAACAACCUGCCGCAAAGUGACGCUGCAAAAACGGAAUGCGUAGAAUGGGCGAAAUCAAACGCAACAAUGAGACCGCUUCCAACUGUCAGAAAUACUUCCGAGAAGAGUGCCAAACCAGAAAGCAGAACGGACACAUUUUGCUCAACGCGGUGCGGAUUAGAUUGAACUACUUCGAAAAGCACUGGAAAGUGCGAGUUCGUGGAAAAUCAGUAACAGAAACACUUCAAUACGCAGUUACGGCGGACAGGUCAAUAUCGACAAGCAAAGAGCAAUAUCGAGCAAACAACGUGGUGGCACUGUUUUUCCCCGUACUCACGAUAGCACGACGCACACGGACUUGCAUUUGAAGAACCAAUUUGUUCACUGGAUCAGGACUCUGCAUGAGAGACCACGUCACGAACCCGUGUUGGUCAAUAAUCACGUAUCUCGAUUAGACAGAAGCGAAGGGGAUCGUCAAGGUCCCCUUACUUUACAGAUCGGACUUCGGUGUACCGUGUUGGCGACCCACUGUCAUGUGAUGGCGAUGACCGUGUAGUAUUCGUGAACUGAAGGCAGCAGUGUGCCUUAUCAGCUGGUUUGUGAAAGGAGCGAGAGCACUCUACCCGUGUGCUGAUUUACCGUACAGUGACGCUGGAAUGAACCAGUUCGAAGAUUGCAGCGGCUAACGAAUCGGGACUGGCAACAUUGCGCGAAGAGCUAGUUAGUUUUGCAUGCUGGCAUUUAGGAAGGUGAGCGGCAGUGAGGCGGAGGUUGGAUCAUAGGCUGGCGUAUAUGAAUAGAGUCGGGAUGGCGAUGGCAUGAGUAAGUGAAGAGCGGGAGAGAAAUGCAUGCAGGAACAUAAGGUUAGUGAACGGUACCGAGGAGGAUGUUAGAGGCUAAGGAAUAAAUAGUAAUGAAAGUAAAUGAAAAUGCAUGUUAGAAUUAGGUAAUAGUAAGAGGAGGAAGAAAUAAGUUGAGGGAGAAAAUUAGGAGAGAGAAGGAGAAGAUGGAAUGUCGGGGGAUAGCAUGUAGGAUUGAAUACAUUAUCAUGUGACAGUA